GUUGCUUAUUUCAAACACAGUUGCAGAGAGGAAGGAGCAGCUUCAGUGGUACCUUCAAUGGCGGCGGGAAAAAAACUCCAUGUUCUUCAAUUUCCAUGGUGCGCAUUCGGCCACAUUAUUCCCAAUUUUCAUCUCUCCAUAGCCCUAGCCAAAGCCGGAGUCCACGUCUCCUUCGUCUCCACUCCUAGAAAUCUACAGAGACUCCCAAAACUUCCUCCACCUCUCGCCUCCCUCAUCACUCUCGUCCCCAUUCAGCUCGGUGGCGAUCUCCUACCGGAAGGCGCCGAGGCGACGGUGGACCUCCCGCUCGACAAGGUUCCUUAUCUCCAAAAAGCCCUAGAUCUCGCCGAGCCGGCGUUCCGGAGCUUCGUCGCCGGUCAUCCGAAUCCGCCGGACUGGUUCAUCGUCGAUUUUAACGCGACUUGGAUCUGCGACGUUUCUCGAGACUUCCGAAUCCCGAUCCUGUUCUUCAACGUUCUCUCUGCUGGAUUUCUCGCGUUCGUGGAGAAGGUUUUCGGAGAAGGGCCAACGGAUGUGGAGAAGCUCACGACGCCGAUCCAGAUCGGUGAAUUUCGGUCGACGGUGUCGUUUCGACGAUUUGAAGCCGUUACGAUGCUCUCUGAAUUUCCUGUGGAGGACGAGAGCGGGAUGAGUGUUCGCGAGCGGGUGGCGAAGAUUCAUUCCGCCUGUGAAGCGAUUCUGCUUCGUGCUUGCGACGAAUCGGAUGGUUUAUACUUGAAUUUAUACAGCAAAAUUUGUGGAAAAAAAGUAGUUCCUCUAGGGCUUCUCCCGCCGGAAAAGCCCCAAAAAACAGAGCUCCCCGCCGAUUCGCCAUGGAAAUCGACGUUUGAGUGGCUCGACAAACAGAAUCCCCGAUCCGUGGUGUUCGUCGGAUUUGGCAGCGAGUGGAGACUCACGAAAGAUCAAGUUCACGAGAUAGCGCGUGGAGUGGAGCUCUCGGAGCUCCCAUUUCUAUGGUCUCUGAGAAAGCCGGCCUGGGCGACGGAGGAUUCCGACGCUUUUCCGGUCGGAUUCCUGGAGAGGACGGCGGAGAGAGGGAUCACGAGCAUGGGGUGGGCCCCGCAGAUGGAGAUUUUGGCGCAUCCGACAAUCGGAGGGUGUAUGUUUCACGUGGGGUGGGGAUCCACCAUUGAAGCUCUGCAAUUCGGGCAUUGCCUUGUAGUGUUGCCGUUCAUCAUCGAUCAGCCGCUGAAUGCGAGGUUUCUGGUGGAGAAGGGCUUUGCGAUUGAGGUUGAAAGAAAUGAAGACGACGGGUCUUUCACCGGAGAAGCCAUAGCCAAAGCUCUGAAAGGAGCUAUGGUUUCAGAGGAAGGAGAAGAGAUAAGGAAGCGGGCCAGAGAGGCUGCCGCCAUUUUUGGGGACACCGAGCUUCAUCGGCGAUAUAUUGAGGAUUUCGUCCAAUUCCUCAAAAAUGGAGAUCCCAAUCAAUUAAAUGGUGUUUGAAGAUAUGAUUUCUCGCCACAGUUUCAAGCUAUAAUUUCUUCAGAUGAAAAUAGCUUUUGGUUUCGAUUUGUUAUGUUUUUUAAAAAUUAUUGAGUGUACUAGAACUACCCCUUUUUAAAACAAAGGAAAACAUUGCUGUGCUAACUCUGAAAAAUACUUGACACAACCACGGGGAUCAAAUCAAGUCGAAAAACCGAUCCGAUCAACAAAAACUCGAUUUAAGAAGUGAAUCGAUCGGUGUCGAUUGGUACACUCUUUCAAAAUCAAUUAAAGAGUAUGGGGUGGGCCCCGUAGGUGGAAAUUUUGGGGAAUCCGACGAUCGGAGGGUGUUUGUUUCACGCGGGGUGGGGAUCCGCCAUUGAAGUUCUGCAAUUCGGGUAUUACUGCGUUGUAGUAUUGUCGUUCAUCAUUAAUCAACCGCUAAAUGCGAGGCUUCUGGUGGAGAAGGGCCUUACGAUUGAAGUUGAAAGAAAUGAACAAGGAGUCUUUCACAAUCUUAUGAUUAGAGGAGGCGAGCAAUGGAGGCUGCCGCCAUUUUUGGGAACACCGAGCUUCAUCAACGAUACGUUGAGGAUUUUGUCCAAUUCCUAAAAAAUGGGGAUUCCGAUUCCAAUUAAAGCUAUUAUUUUGUUUCUUUCUUCUUUUUCUGGCAAGAUAUUUGAUCUGUGACGUUCAAGGGAGGUGGCUCUUGUCGAACAUUGCUAAAUUGGUCGUUGUAACAAGCUUCCACGGAAGUUCGAUGGUUUGCAUUUGGUUUAGUUUCAAUAAUAUUCCACUGUUAUUUUUUAGUACAUCAACCUCGAG
This is a non-coding RNA of Momordica charantia (bitter melon), 2268 nucleotides long. The record is from RefSeq and is a predicted model, not a curated record. NCBI's taxonomy places the organism in Eukaryota, Viridiplantae, Streptophyta, Magnoliopsida, Cucurbitales, Cucurbitaceae.